This 359-nucleotide long non-coding RNA is filed under the name Brassica napus (rape). RNAcentral's name for it is "long non-coding RNA (BNAP_LNC001616)". Lineage: Eukaryota; Viridiplantae; Streptophyta; Magnoliopsida; Brassicales; Brassicaceae. The record is from RNAcentral.
GUUGAUGUUUUAGGGUUUAGAUUUGAAGGUUUAGGGUUUAGGGUUUUGAGAUGAUGUUUUAGGGUUUAGGGUUUAGAGUUGAUGUUUCAUGGUUUAGGAUUUAGACUUGAUGAUUUAGGGUUUAAAGUUGAUGUUUUAAGUUUAGAUUUAGGGUUUAGGGUUUACGUUUAGAGUUGAUGUUUUAGGGUUUAGAUUUGAAGGUUUAGGGUUUAGGGUUUAGAGUUGAUGUUUCGGAGUUUAGGGUUUAGAGUUGAUGUUUCAUGGUUUAGAGUUUAAAGUUGAUGAUUUAAUGUUUAGAGUUGAUGUUUUAAGUUUAGAUUAGUUAACGUUUUUUUUGUGAAAGUUAAUCAAAAGAUUAU